GAUGAACGCUGGCGGCGUGCCUAAUACAUGCAAGUCGAGCGAACGGACGAGACGCUUGCUUCUCUGAUGUUAGCGGCGGACGGGUGAGUAACACGUGGCUAACCUACCUAUAAGACUGGGAUACCUUCGGGAAACCGGAGCUAAUACCGGAUAAUAUUUUGAACCGCAUGGUUCAAAAGUGAAAGACGGUCUUGCUGUCACUUAUAGAUGGAUCCGCGCUGCAUUAGCUAGUUGGUAAGGUAACGGCUUACCAAGGCAACGAUGCAUAGCCGACCUGAGAGGGUGAUCGGCCACACUGGAACUGAGACACGGUCCAGACUCAUACGGGAGGCAGCAGUAGGGAAUCGUCCGCAAUGGGCGAAAGCCUGACGGAGCAACGCCGCGUGAGUGAUGAAGGUCUUCGGAUCGGAAAACUCUGUUAUUAGGGAAGAACAUAUGUGUAAGUAACUGUGCACAUCUUGACGGUACCUAAUCAGAAAGCCACGGCUAACUACGUG
Molecule: ribosomal RNA, 497 nt
Filed under: uncultured bacterium
Lineage: Bacteria
Description: partial 16S ribosomal RNA
Rfam family: Bacterial small subunit ribosomal RNA
Source: RNAcentral